GAGAAAGAGAAGAAGAGCGAACGGAGGAUGCCUUGGCUUCCGGAGGCGAAGAAGGACGUGGUAAGCUGCGAAAAGCCCCGGGGAUCUGCAAACAGGAACUGAUCCGGGGAUGUCCGAAUGGGGGAACCCGGCUGGCUGAAGGCCAGUCACCAGCUUUUGCUGGAGCAUACGCAGGGAACUGAAACAUCUUAGUACCUGCAGGAAAAGAAAGAAAUAUCGAUUCCCAAAGUAGUGGCGAUCGAAAUGGGAAGAGCCCAAACCGGGUGCGUUACGGCGUGUCCGGGGUUGUAGGAGCAGACAUAAAGAAUCAUCCAGGAACUGGAACCGUCUGGAAAGUCGGUCCGGAGAGGGUGAAAGGCCCGUACAGGUAACGGGGAUGAUUCGAGUUUGCCACCUGAGUAGGGCGGGACACGUGGAAUCCUGUCUGAAGCAGCGGCGACCGUGCCGCAAGGCUAAAUAUAACCGGAAGACCGAUAGUGGACCAGUACCGUGAGGGAAAGGUGGGAAGCACCCCGAACAGGGGAGUGAAAUAGAACCUGAAACCGUUCGUUUACAAGCGGUCGGAGC
Molecule: ribosomal RNA, 567 nt
Filed under: Candidatus Cryptobacteroides choladohippi
Lineage: Bacteria; Pseudomonadati; Bacteroidota; Bacteroidia; Bacteroidales
Description: partial 23S ribosomal RNA
Rfam family: Bacterial large subunit ribosomal RNA
Source: RNAcentral